UGAAUACGAGACGCUAAGGCGUCGAAGUAGUGUAUGUCAUACUUCCAAGAAAAGCUUGCACUGUCAUAGAUAAAAAACGCCUGUACCAUAACCGACACAGGUGGGUAGGUAGAGUAUACUAAGGGGCGCGAGAUAACUCUCUCUAAGGAACUCGGCAAAAUAACUCCGUAACUUCGGGAGAAGGAGUGCCUUAUUCUUAAGGUUGCAAUAACAAGAUCCAAGCAACUGUUUAUCAAAAACACAGGUCUCCGCUAAGUCGUAAGACGAUGUAUGGGGGCUGACGCCUGCCCAGUGCCAGAAGGUUAAAGAAGCUGGUUAGCAUUUGCGAAGCUAGUAACUGAAGCCCUGGUGAACGGCGGCCGUAACAAUAACGGUCCUAAGGUAGCGAAAUUCCUUGUCGGGUAAGUUCCGACCCGCACGAAAGGCGUAAUGAUUUGGAUACUGUCUCGGAGAGGGGCUCGGUGAAAUAGACUUGUCUGUGAAGAUGCGGACUACCUGCACCAGGACAGAAAGACCCUAUGAAGCUUUACUGUAACUUGAAAUUGAAAUUGGACUUUAUUCGCGCAGUAUAGGUGGGAGGCGUUGAUUAUAAUCUUGCGGGAUUAUUGGAGCCAUUAGUGAGAUACCACUCUUGUAAUGUUAGUUUUCUAACUUUGAAUCAUUAUCUGGUCAAGGAACAGUUUCAGGCGGGCAGUUUGACUGGGGCGGUCGCCUCCCAAACGGUAACGGAGGCGUACAAAGGUUUCCUCUGAACGGUUAGAAAUCGUAUCUAGAGUGUAAAGGCAUAAGGAAGCUUGACUGUGAGACCUACAAGUCGAGCAGGGACGAAAGUCGGUCUUAGUGAUCGGACGGUACUGAGUGGAAAGGCCGUCACUCAACGGAUAAAAGUUACUCUAGGAUAACAGGCUGAUCUCCCCCAAGAGUUCACAUCGACGGGGAGGUUUGGCACCUCGAUGUCGGCUCAUCGCAUCCUGGGGCGGUAGUACGUCCCAAGGGUUGGGCUGUUCGCCCAUGAAAGCGGUACGCGAGCUGGGUUCAGAACGUCGUGAGACAGUUCGGUCCAUAUCCGGUGUAGGCGUUAGAAUAUUGAGAGGAGCCUUCUUUAGUACGAGAGGACCGAGAAGGACAUACCUCUGGUGUACCAGUUAUCGCGCCAACGGUAGACGCUGGGUAGCUAUGUAUGGAGUGGAUAACCGCUGAAAGCAUCUAAGUGGGAAGCCCACCUCAAGAUAAGUAUUCUCAU
Molecule: ribosomal RNA, 1243 nt
Filed under: metagenome
Description: bacterial LSU rRNA
Rfam family: Bacterial large subunit ribosomal RNA
Source: RNAcentral